RNAcentral lists this ribosomal RNA (630 nucleotides) under Triticum aestivum (bread wheat). RNAcentral's name for it is "partial small subunit ribosomal RNA". The record is from RNAcentral. Lineage: Eukaryota; Viridiplantae; Streptophyta; Magnoliopsida; Poales; Poaceae.
AUGCCAGACGCCGGCCCUCUCCAUCCCCACGCCGCUCUAUGGGCGCAAGCCAACUCCAUCCAGAACAUCAAGAGCCUCAUCCCAGUCACCCUCGACCUCAAGGCGUCCAACUUCUCCAAGUGGCGCCACUUCCUCACCAUUGCCGUCAACCAGUUCGCCCUCGCCGAUCAUCUUGAACCGGCACCCCCUCCCGCUGACGCAGAGUGGCUGCGGAUGGACUCCACCGUCCUUCGGUGGCUGUACGGCUCCAUCAACCCCGACAUCGCCGACAUGGUCAUGGCAGCCGGUACCACGGCUGCCGCUGUCUUCGCCGGCAUCAUCUCCCUCUUCCGCGACAAUCAACAGGCGCGUGCGGGCUACCUCGGCCAGAAGUUCCGCAACAUCGUCCAAGGCGACAAGACCGUCACCGCCUACUGCCUCGAGCAAAAAACGGUCGCCGAUGCUCUCGCCGACGUCAAUGCCCCGGUCUCUGAUGACGCUCUGGUGUGGAACACCAUCAAGGGCCUCAACGACCACUACAAGGACAUCGGCAACCUCGCGCCUAUCAUCAAGCCAUUCCCCACGUUCCUUGAAUUUCGCAACAUGCUUCUUCUCCAGGAACUUAAGCCGUCCUCCCCGAGCUCUACGUAG